CGAUGUGCGUUUAACUCUGGCGGAGGUCGUGGUCUAUGGAGAUCGUUGUGAGAGAGUAAUGUGUUUGCUCUUCGGCUAGAGAGCCGUGGUGUUAGAGGAAUUCACUCGGAGAUUUCUGAAGGCUUGGUUGUAACUUGUUGUGGAAGUAGAGUACGUCUAUAGUUUUGGUUGUGAUAACGUCGAUGGUACAUGGCUGUGGUAUUUAUGUGUAGUGAUUAGUUAUGACUGAGAUUAUUGUAAAGUUCUUCAAAUAUCUUAAGUUUAGAGCGUAGAGUUUGUCUACUUUCCCCUUUUACGUAGUUUGACUGAGUAGCAUGAGCUGCUGUCACUCGAUUUAGGUGACAGUGGCGACUCUUGAUUACGGUUAUCGUCACUCGAUGGAGGUGGCAAGGUUAUCGUCACUCGCUGAGUGGCAUGAGCUACUGUCGCUCGAUUUAGGUGACAGUAGCGACUGUUUCAAUUACGGUUAUCGUCACUCUCUGAGUGGCAUGAGUUACUGUCGCUCGAUUUAGGUGACAGUGGCGACUCUUGAUUACGGUUAUCGUCACUCGAUGGAGGUGGCAAGGUUAUCGUCACUCGCUGAGUGGCAUGAGCUACUGUCGCUCGAUUUAGGUGACAGUAGCGACUGUUUCAAUUACGGUUAUCGUCACUCUCUGAGUGGCAUGAGUUACUGUCGCUCGAUUUAGGUGACAGUAACGACUCUUUCAAUUACGGUUAUCGUCACUCUCUGAGUGGCAUGAGUUACUGUCGCUCGAUUUAGGUGACAGUAACGACUCUUUUAAUUAAGGUUAUCGUCACUCUCUGAGUGGCAUGAGCUGCUGUCGCUCGAUUUAGGUGACAGUGGCGACUUUCUUCUUAGUCGUUCACUCUUGACAGAGUGGUCGUGGUUGACGACGAUUCAUUGGCUAAAGUAGCCCCCGCUAUACGUCUCCACUUGAUGCGGUUUUCGGCAUCUCGAGAACUCUGGACUAUGGAGGUCUGUGUCGCAGCUUUGAUAAGGUCUGUCCAGCGCGUAGGUGAUCGACGAGUCGCUCUAUGGAUUGUUCGUUUCGAACAAUGUGUCUGAAAUAUUUCAGGAUUCGAGUUUGCA
RNAcentral lists this unclassified non-coding RNA (1090 nucleotides) under Melitaea cinxia (Glanville fritillary). RNAcentral's name for it is "misc RNA ENSMCXG00005001863.1". The record is from RNAcentral. Lineage: Eukaryota; Metazoa; Arthropoda; Insecta; Lepidoptera; Nymphalidae.